This 450-nucleotide ribosomal RNA is filed under the name uncultured Glomeromycotina. Its description in RNAcentral is "SSU rRNA". It matches the Rfam family "Eukaryotic small subunit ribosomal RNA", at positions 569 to 1016 of the family's 1831-position model. The record is from RNAcentral. Lineage: Eukaryota; Fungi; Glomeromycota.
AGCAGCCGCGGUAAUUCCAGCUCCAAUAGCGUAUAUUAAAGUUGUUGCAGUUAAAAAGCUCGUAGUUGAAUUUCGGGAUUGGCGCAUCGGUCGUGCCUUACGGGGUAUGAACUGGUGCAGUCAAUUUCUCACCUUCUGGAGAACCGCGAUGUCCUUAAUUGGGUGCCGCGGGGAACCAGGACCUUUACUUUGAAAAAAUUAGAGUGUUUAAAGCAGGCAUUUUUGCUUGAAUACAUUAGCAUGGAAUAAUAAAAUAGGACGGCAUGGUUCUAUUUUGUUGGUUUCUAGGACCACCGUAAUGAUUAAUAGGGAUAGUUGGGGGCAUUAGUAUUCAAUUGUCAGAGGUGAAAUUCUUGGAUUUAUUGAAGACUAACUACUGCGAAAGCAUUUGCCAAGGAUGUUUUCAUUAAUCAAGAACGGAAGUUAGGGGAUCGAAGACGAUCAGAUACC